This is a non-coding RNA of Stegodyphus mimosarum, 73 nucleotides long. Lineage: Eukaryota; Metazoa; Arthropoda; Arachnida; Araneae; Eresidae. The record is from Rfam.
GCCUUCGUGGUGUAGUGGUUAGCACACUCGACGCGCAUUCGAGAGUUCCGUGGUUCGAGUCCGGACGAGGGCA